CAGCCGCCGCGGUAAUACGUAGGUGGCAAGCGUUGUCCGGAAUUAUUGGGCGUAAAGGGCUCGCAGGCGGUUUCUUAAGUCUGAUGUGAAAGCCCCCGGCUCAACCGGGGAGGGUCAUUGGAAACUGGGAAACUUGAGUGCAGAAGAGGAGAGUGGAAUUCCACGUGUAGCGGUGAAAUGCGUAGAGAUGUGGAGGAACACCAGUGGUGAAGGCGACUCUCUGGUCUGUAACUGACGCUGAGGAGCGAAAGCGUGGGGAGCGAACAGGAUUAGAUACCCGCGUAGUCCCUGUCUCUUAUAC
This 301-nucleotide ribosomal RNA is filed under the name uncultured bacterium. RNAcentral's name for it is "partial 16S ribosomal RNA". It matches the Rfam family "Bacterial small subunit ribosomal RNA", at positions 509 to 807 of the family's 1533-position model. The record is from RNAcentral.